GACGAACGCUGGCGGCGUGCCUAAUACAUGCAAGUAGAACGCUGAAGGGGGAGCUUGCUUCUCGGGAUGAGUUGCGAACGGGUGAGUAACGCCUAGGUGACCUGCCUGGUAGCGGGGGACAACUAUUGGAAACGAUAGCUAAUACCUCAUAAGAGCAGAUGUUGCAUGACAUUUGCUUAAAAUUUGCAAUUUCAUCACUACCAGAUGGACCUGCGUUGUAUUAGCUAGUUGGUGGAGUAACGGCUUAACAAGGCGACGAUACAUAGCCGACCUGGGAGGGGGGACGAGCCCCAUGGGAAUGGGACCACGCCCCGGCUCCCACGGGGAGCCGCCGUAGGGGAUUUUCGGCCAUGGACGGAAGUCUGACCGAGCCACGCCGCGUGGGUGGAGUAGGUUUUCGGAUCGUAAAGCUAUGUUGUACGGGAAGAAAGAGUGUGGGAGUGGAAAGUUCACAAUGUGACGGUAUCUUAACAGAAAGCGACGGCUAACUACGUG
RNAcentral lists this ribosomal RNA (495 nucleotides) under uncultured bacterium. RNAcentral describes it as "partial 16S ribosomal RNA". It matches the Rfam family "Bacterial small subunit ribosomal RNA", at positions 28 to 507 of the family's 1533-position model. The record is from RNAcentral.